Molecule: ribosomal RNA, 1343 nt
Filed under: uncultured bacterium
Lineage: Bacteria
Description: 16S ribosomal RNA
Rfam family: Bacterial small subunit ribosomal RNA
Source: RNAcentral
GACGAACGCUGGCGGCGUGCUUAACACAUGCAAGUCGAGCGGAAAGGCCCUGCUUUUGUGGGGUGCUCGAGUGGCGAACGGGUGAGUAACACGUGAGUAACCUGCCCUUGACUUUGGGAUAACUUCAGGAAACUGGGGCUAAUACCGGAUAGGAGCUCCUGCUGCAUGGUGGGGGUUGGAAAGUUUCGGCGGUUGGGGAUGGACUCGCGGCUUAUCAGCUUGUUGGUGGGGUAGUGGCUUACCAAGGCUUUGACGGGUAGCCGGCCUGAGAGGGUGACCGGCCACAUUGGGACUGAGAUACGGCCCAGACUCCUACGGGAGGCAGCAGUGGGGAAUAUUGCACAAUGGGCGGAAGCCUGAUGCAGCAACGCCGCGUGCGGGAUGACGGCCUUCGGGUUGUAAACCGCUUUCGCCUGUGACGAAGCGUGAGUGACGGUAAUGGGUAAAGAAGCACCGGCUAACUACGUGCCAGCAGCCGCGGUGAUACGUAGGGUGCGAGCGUUGUCCGGAUUUAUUGGGCGUAAAGGGCUCAUAGGUGGUUGAUCGCGUCGGAAGUGUAAUCUUGGGGCUUAACCCUGAGCGUGCUUUCGAUACGGGUUGACUUGAGGAAGGUAGGGGAGAAUGGAAUUCCUGGUGGAGCGGUGGAAUGCGCAGAUAUCAGGAGGAACACCAGUGGCGAAGGCGGUUCUCUGGGCCUUUCCUGACGCUGAGGAGCGAAAGCGUGGGGAGCGAACAGGCUUAGAUACCCUGGUAGUCCACGCUGUAAACGGUGGGUACUAGGUGUGGGGUCCAUUCCACGGGUUCCGUGCCGUAGCUAACGCUUUAAGUACCCCGCCUGGGGAGUACGGCCGCAAGGCUAAAACUCAAAGGAAUUGACGGGGCCCCGCACAAGCGGCGGAGCAUGCGGAUUAAUUCGAUGCAACGCGUAGAACCUUACCUGGGUUUGACAUGGAUCGGGAGUGCUCAGAGAUGGGUGUGCCUCUUUUGGGGUCGGUUCACAGGUGGUGCAUGGCUGUCGUCAGCUCGUGUCGUGAGAUGUUGGGUUAAGUCCCGCAACGAGCGCAACCCUUGUUCACUGUUGCCAGCACGUUAUGGUGGGGACUCAGUGGAGACCGCCGGGGUCAACUCGGAGGAAGGUGGGGAUGACGUCAAGUCAUCAUGCCCCUUAUGUCCAGGGCUUCACGCAUGCUACAAUGGCUGGUACAGAGAGUGGCGAGCCUGUGAGGGUGAGCGAAUCUCGGAAAGCCGGUCUCAGUUCGGAUUGGGGUCUGCAACUCGACCUCAUGAAGUCGGAGUCGCUAGUAAUCGCAGAUCAGCAACGCUGCGGUGAAUACGUUCCCGGG